GGGGGUUUUUCCACUAUACUUCGAGAGAAUUACAUUUUACAAGAGAUGAAUGAAUAAUGAGAUGAGAUCCCCUUCUAACCCACUACUAAGUCUCUAUUUAUAAGCAUGUAAAUAAGCCUUAGGGCCUCAAGCCCAUUCCCUAAGAUAAUUGGGCUUAAGCCCCUUUAAUACAUUGACCUUGGUCUGAGUCGCCUAUGCUUGCUUGACUACGCCGGAAGCUCUAUUAUUUCUUUUAUUAUCCCAAGUCUUCAAUUAAACCUGCACUGAUUAGCUUAAU
RNAcentral lists this long non-coding RNA (277 nucleotides) under Salvia miltiorrhiza (redroot sage). RNAcentral's name for it is "long non-coding RNA (SMIL_LNC010165)". The record is from RNAcentral. Lineage: Eukaryota; Viridiplantae; Streptophyta; Magnoliopsida; Lamiales; Lamiaceae.